This is a long non-coding RNA of Pipistrellus kuhlii (Kuhl's pipistrelle), 151 nucleotides long. RefSeq lists it as uncharacterized. The transcript is spliced from 3 exons. Lineage: Eukaryota; Metazoa; Chordata; Mammalia; Chiroptera; Vespertilionidae. The record is from RefSeq and is a predicted model, not a curated record.
CAAAAUCUUUGGCCCUGUGGACAAAAGGGGCUACAUGCUGACCUGUCAGCUCAGGGAAGGCAUGCAUGGCAGUCUUGCAAACUCAGAGACCUAAAGUAAUUACAAAGGAUGGUCUAAAAUUAAACUUUAACUAAAAACAGUUAUGGUGGGU